Molecule: ribosomal RNA, 253 nt
Filed under: uncultured bacterium
Lineage: Bacteria
Description: partial 16S ribosomal RNA
Rfam family: Bacterial small subunit ribosomal RNA
Source: RNAcentral
UACGAAGGGUGCUAGCGUUGUUCGGAAUUACUGGGCGUAAAGCGCGUGUAGGCGGGUCGUUAAGUCGGGGGUGAAAGCCCAGAGCUCAACUCUUGAACUGCCUUCGAUACUGGCGACCUGGACCCAAGGAGAGGCGAGUGGAAUUGCGAGUGUAGAGGUGAAAUUCUUAGAUAUUCGCAGGAACACCAAUGGCGAAGGCGACUCGCUGGUCUUGUUGUGACGCUGAGAUGCGAAAGCGUGGGGAGCAAACAGG